GCAGUGGUAGUUCACUGGUAGAAUUCUUGCCUUCUACUCGGGAGACCUGGGUUCAGUUCCUGGCCAGUGCA
This 71-nucleotide transfer RNA is filed under the name Loxodonta africana (African savanna elephant). It matches the Rfam family "tRNA". From Rfam's summary of the family: Transfer RNA (tRNA) molecules are approximately 80 nucleotides in length. Their secondary structure includes four short double-helical elements and three loops (D, anti-codon, and T loops). Further hydrogen bonds mediate the characteristic L-shaped molecular structure. tRNAs have two regions of fundamental functional importance: the anti-codon, which is responsible for specific mRNA codon recognition, and the 3' end, to which the tRNAs corresponding amino acid is attached (by aminoacyl-tRNA synthetases). tRNAs cope with the degeneracy of the genetic code in two manners: having more than one tRNA (with a specific anti-codon) for a particular amino acid; and 'wobble' base-pairing, i.e. permitting non-standard base-pairing at the 3rd anti-codon position. Lineage: Eukaryota; Metazoa; Chordata; Mammalia; Proboscidea; Elephantidae. The record is from Rfam by way of RNAcentral.